Molecule: long non-coding RNA, 446 nt
Filed under: Homo sapiens (human)
Lineage: Eukaryota; Metazoa; Chordata; Mammalia; Primates; Hominidae
Description: non-protein coding lnc-TRIM65-1:2
Source: RNAcentral
AGCCUGGACUGAGCUGCUCCUGAGUUUCAUGGACUACCCAUGGGACCUUGAAUUCACCUGCCACCUCUGCCUCCUGAGGGUGUUAGGGGCCCUGGGAUCCACGUGUCUACUUGAAGACAGCUACAGGAGACAAAGUUUGCAGUAGGCCUCGAACCAACAUCCCGGGUAACCGGGUGGCUGAAGGACAGGUGACGUGUCCCUACCUCCCCCCCUUCCCUGCCCGAGGCUCCGGCAUCCACCGUCUUGCCUUCCUGCUCUUCAAGCAGGACCAGCCGAUUGACUUCUCUGAGGACGCACGCCCCUCACCCUGCUAUCAGCUGGCCCAGCGGACCUUCCGCACUUUUGAUUUCUACAAGAAACACCAAGAAACCAUGACUCCAGCCGGCUUGUCCUUCUUCCAGUGCCGCUGGGAUGACUCCGUCACCUACAUCUUCCACCAGCUUCUG